RNAcentral lists this transfer RNA (84 nucleotides) under Myxococcota bacterium. Its description in RNAcentral is "tRNA-Leu". It matches the Rfam family "tRNA". From Rfam's summary of the family: Transfer RNA (tRNA) molecules are approximately 80 nucleotides in length. Their secondary structure includes four short double-helical elements and three loops (D, anti-codon, and T loops). The record is from RNAcentral. Lineage: Bacteria; Pseudomonadati; Myxococcota.
GCCCGGGUGGUGAAACAGGUAGACACAGGGGCCUUAAAAGCCCCUUCCCUCCAGGGAGUGCCGGUUCGAAUCCGGCCCCGGGCA